GAAGUUCAUACAGUUGCGAGCAAGUUUGCCGAGACUUUACCUAGAUCGGCCUACGGAGUAAUGUUGAGGUGCGAUAUUUUUGUUCUGUACAACUUCCAUUAUCAUAAUUCCAUUCGUACUUGUUAUAAGUAUUGUUCUGAUUACAUCAUGGAUGGAAUAAAUCACAUAGAUUGGUGUAAGCGUUUGUUUGCAUUCGUACACAAAUGAAAAUACAAUCUUUUUCUGCAUACGUAUCGGCCGUAUACAUGCAUGUGUGUACACAAUUACAUGAACACGAAUUCCCGUUCGGUGACCCUGGAAUAAACCUGUGUUUGGUCGAUUUGAAUUGUCAAAACAAUAAAUCAUUAUUGAAUCUAUCAAUUAUGAUACAUGUAACAACUGUUUGCCACGCAUGUUGUUAAAUCGAAAUCCAAAGAAAUAAGUAUACGUCGGAUCUACCGUGUCGUCACUUACAACCAACUCUGUUCCCGCCAGAGGGCGCAACAAGUUGCACUAUAUUUGGAGUAUAGCUAUAUUUGACGUGGGCUUUCCCAAAACUUAAACAGACCAUAAUGGACAUUGGCUACGUAGAGAUAAUUAUUGACCGCAAAUGUUUUUGUCUGAAUAUAUGUUUUAUCGUUUCUGUCUGAAUUAUAAAAAGCAUGCUUGAAUAAAUUGUCCCUUUAAGACUUAAUUGGAAAAGAU
Long non-coding RNA from Pecten maximus, 684 nucleotides. RefSeq lists it as uncharacterized. The record is from RefSeq and is a predicted model, not a curated record. NCBI's taxonomy places the organism in Eukaryota, Metazoa, Mollusca, Bivalvia, Pectinida, Pectinidae. The transcript has 3 exons.